UGUGAGUGAGGCAGAAAUACAAGCUCUCGGGAUUUCGGUGAUGAUGACAUGCUGAGGAAGUGGACUGGCUCUCCCGACUCCAGCCAGAAGCCUAAAAAUCUCUCCAGGGAAAGCAGCAGAGGUGAAGAAAUCCUAACCUGUCUACUCUGAGAUCAUGAAGAUUUGUCCUGUUUUCUUCCAGAAGCGUUAUUGUUUCAUCAUUCACAUUUAGGUCUACAAUUCAUUUCAAAAUAACUUUUCUGUAUGAUGUAAGCAGCCCCAGGAAACUAAUGCCUGUGCAGACUAACAACUGAUUCAUAAAAGACACCUGAACUGAUGGAGGGUUACAACCAGCGCGCCUGCCUGAGUGAGAGCUGCACCCCAGAUGGGCAGGCAGAAGCACCCGCCUCUCCCUCUUUCAUACCACAUCUCUUCCUCCUUGCGCUGGAGACUGUCCCUGAACCACAGUGGGUCCAGCCUCACGCUGGGGUUCUUGUAUGGAAAACAGGAGUAGGGGGGCUGGCCAGUUCCUUCACUAUGCUGGGUCUUGUUCUUCUGGUUCCUCUAGCAUCGGAGGGAGGGAUGGCAGGAAGGAGAGGUGCUGUGUUCACUUGGUAUUGGUGCCCUCUGGCUGUGGCAGGUGUCCAAAUGCUAAUUCUUCCCCUGGCUGAGUGCUUCUGGGGUUCUCAGCAGCCCCACAGUGAGCCUUCAGCUGCAGUUUCCUUGCACUAUCGACGCUCCCUUGGUUGGCUGUGAGGGAUCGUUUCCCAGCCCCUGAUCUGAAAGUCCACCCUGCAGACCCCCUCUUGGGUCUUGACAGCUCAAGGCGAGCCACCUUCCAGAGACCCAGGGGCCACAGGAAGCUCACUCAUCUUGCUGUGCCAGACUGUAAAUACAGGCCAUUACCAACAUGCUGUUUUAAUUAAAGUGACUUUAAAAUAAGAUUUAACAACUGGUAGGUCAAUUCCCCCUAGCCAUUGUAUUUUAAUAAUUUCCUUGUAUACUUACUCUUUGCUCUAAACUUUUAAAUCAUUUGUCCAGCUCCCUUCCCUUCCCACCUCUUUCCCCCUACCCCUAAAAGCCAAAAUACAUUAAAUUUGUAUUGUAAUUAGGGGAAAAUGACAUUUUUGUGGUAUUACAUUUUCCCAUUCAAUAAUUUAAAUUUUCUCUACUUGUUAAACUUUUAUUUUGGGUCUUUCCAUUCAGUUUCAUAGUUUUUCUCACAUAGGUUCUGUAUCUUUCUUUUUAAAAUUAUUUCUAAGCAUUUAUAGUUAUUGCAAACGCAUCUUUUUGUUUUUAUUUCUAGCUGUUUCAGAGAAAAACAUAGAUAUUUUUUAUAUAUUGUUUUUUCAGCCACCUUAAAUUCUCUUAUCAAUCUUAGUAGUCUAUUUCCAAAAAUGCCUUGGCUUUUUUGUAUGUAUAAUAAUUCUGUUUGCAAAUAAAGAUAAUUUUCUCUUUAUUCCACAAAUAUAACCAAUUAAUUAUUUUCUUUUCUUGCACAGUUUAUUUAGCUAGCACAUCUAAAAUUGUCUUGAAUUUAAUGGUGAUGGUAGGUAUAUAAUUUUUACUGGUAAUUUUUUUGCCUUUUGUUUCCCCUCCCCAAACCCCCCCAGUACAGAGUUGUGUAUCUUAGCUGUAGGUCUUUCUGGUUCUGCCACAUGGGAGGUUGCCUCAGCAUGGCCAAAUGAGCGACGCUGGGUCUGCACUCAGGAUCAGAACUGGUGAGCCCUGUGCCACUGAAGUGGAGCGUGCAGCCGCUCGGCCACUGGCUCAGCCCCUUUGCUGGUAAUUUUAAUGAAAGUAAUUUCAACCUAUCAGUAACUAUUAUGACAUUUGCUGUUGGUUUUGAUAAAUGUGUUUGUCUUGUUUAACAUGUUUUCCUUCUAUUAUUUUAUUUGGAAUUUUUAUUAGGAAUGAUUGCAAUAGUAUUAAAUGCCUUGUUACAUGUCUUGAUAUAGCCACAUGAUUUUUCUCCUUUAUGUAAAUGUUCUCUGAUCUUGAAUAACUUUUCAUUUUGGGAAUAAGCCCUAUUUUGUCACACAGUCACCAAAAUGAAAAGUUAUUCAAGAUCAGAGAACAUUUACACAAAGGAGAAAAACGUGUGCGUGUAUGUAUAUUAUACAUAUAUAUGUACACACACACAGAGUCAUGCACUGCAUAACGAUGUUUUGGUCAAUGAUGGACUGCAUACACAACAGUGGUCCCAAAAGAUUAGUUCCAUAUAGCCUAGGUGUGCAGCAGGCUAUACCAUCCAGGUUUGUGUAAGUACUAUAGGGGAAGAAGACAUUUUCCUCUACCCAUCUAGUUUCUUUUGACUGGCCUAAGAAUUAAAUUGAUAUGAGACAGAAUAACAGGAGAAAAACAGAAGUUUAAUAAUGUGUACACAGGAGAAACCCAGGAAAACUGAGUAACUCACCAAAAUGGCAGAAGCCCUCACCUUAAAUACCAUCCUCAGCUAAGGACAAAAGAAGGUGUUGGGGGUGGGGAGAGUCAGGGACUUCAAAAGGAAGGAAGGCAAUUCACAGGUAGGUGAAAAGGAGCAAAUGUUUGGAAAAUCAGUGAUUCCUUGGCCAUACGGAAACAGAAGAACACAGAGAGGGGCCCAAAAAACAGGCUUUUCUAGGUGCCUCCCUGUCCACCACCUAGUUCAUGUGAUGCUCAGGUGAUAGCUUGCUUCCUGGGACAGGUUUUUUUAUCCAAAUUCUUUUAGGCAUUAAGGGGCAGGUAACAAGAAAAACUGAGUUAUUUGUUUCUUAAAAAUAAUCAGCCUAGGGGCCAGCCUGGUGGCGUAGUGGUUAAGUUCACACACUCCACUUUGGCGGCCCAGGCUUCAUGGGUUCAGAUCUUGGGCACAGACCCACAUUCCGCUCAUUGGGCUGUGCUGUGGUGGCAUCCUACAUGCAAAGUAGAGGACAACUGCCACAGGUGUUAGCUCAGGGACAAUCUUCUUCACCAAAAAAAAAAAAAAAAAAAACCCUAAGUAAACCUAAAAUAAUCCUAGUCUUACAGAGACACAUUUUUGGGUGGCAAAUUUUGUUCUCCUUCAGUACACUCUAUGACAUUCGCAUAAUGCUGAAAUCGUCAAACAACAUGUUUCUCAGAAUGUAUCCCCAUUGUUGACUCAUGACUAUAUAUUACCGGUUUCAGUUUUCUAUCAACUUGCCAUAAAACAAAUAUAAUCGUAAAAAUAAGGUAAAAGCAAAAUGAAAGUGUUAAAUUCUUCUAUACCAUUGCCUCUGGAAGGCUAUGCAGUGUAAUGGUUAGAGCUCAGACUCAGGAGCCAGCCUCGCCGAGUUUAGAUGCCCCCUGCACCACUUGAUGCGCCCAGUGAGGAGCCACAUUUCCCUGCCUCAUCUGCAGAUGAAAGUGGCCAGUGAGUGGUAGGUGGAAGUCUGUGUGGGCCUUCUGAGAAGGCGUGCCCUUUCCUAUUUCUGUUUGUUACCUUUCCUCCCUCUUCUUUCUAUCUAGAUGCUGGGUGUGACGGCUGCCGGGCAGGACAGGGUGGGGCCCAUCCAAGCGCUGCAGUGAACGGCAGGCAGUGUCUGCAGGGGAGGCGCAUGGCGGCCGGCAGCCCUGGCGCAGCCCGGCCUCCGCGGACAGAGCUGGAUCUUUCUUCCAGGAGGCUGUGUCCUG
Molecule: long non-coding RNA, 3612 nt
Filed under: Equus caballus (horse)
Lineage: Eukaryota; Metazoa; Chordata; Mammalia; Perissodactyla; Equidae
Description: lncRNA (ENSECAG00000059348.1)
Source: RNAcentral